UUAUAAUAAUUGUUACAAUAAGGUAGAGCCUAUAAAUUUGCUUUCAUUUCUCUUCAACAUCACAAGAGUUUAAAGCAACUUACACCUCAAUAAGCUAUUUAUAUUUUCCUUGCUUCAUCUAUUAUUAGCAUAUAUUUGUCUCUAGUGAAAAAAAUGGCACAUGUUAACAGAAACAUUAGCAGAAUUGUGUUCUUCAUUGUGUUCAUUGUGGGGUUUGUUUUAGCUGCUGAGGCAAGAUCACAGGGUAGUGAGUUUUCUGAAGCACCAGCUCCAUCACCUGAUGUUGGAGCUGGAUUUUUGGUGACUUAUUCUGGAGCAUUUCUUUGUUCCUCACUUUUCCUCUCUCUUAUUCUACUUGUCUCCCAUUAACUAUUCAUUGUAUUAUAUGAUAGAAUAUUAUGAUAUUAUUCGAUAUAUCUAGCCGACUCACCUGAUUGGAUAAAAGCUUGAUUGUUGUUGUUACGUAUUUAUUUAAGAUUCCGUUAUCCUAUUCAUUCUAUAUAGGAAGGGGGUGAUUUUGUAUUUGAGGCCUGUGGCAUUCUUUAUUUUAUUUCUGAUGUGGUUAAUUACAUUGUCAUUGUAAUAUUUUAUUUUUGGCACGCUAAUUAUUUGGUUAAAUAUUACAUUAUUUACCUGUGGGAAACAAUUUACAAUUUGUCUUCUUAUUUUGUUGAAUAUUUUUAAUUCAGUCUUGUAUACGGUGUGUGUGUGUGUGAGAAAGUGUAGUGACUAAUAAAGAUCAAAAUGGGAAUUUAAUAAAGAAA
This 764-nucleotide long non-coding RNA is filed under the name Lupinus angustifolius (narrow-leaved blue lupine). RNAcentral describes it as "long non-coding RNA (LANG_LNC001149)". Lineage: Eukaryota; Viridiplantae; Streptophyta; Magnoliopsida; Fabales; Fabaceae. The record is from RNAcentral.